CGGGGUGUAGCGCAGCCUGGUAGCGCACUUGCUUCGGGAGCAAGGAGUCGCUGGUUCAAAUCCAGUCACCCCGA
RNAcentral lists this transfer RNA (74 nucleotides) under Deltaproteobacteria bacterium. RNAcentral describes it as "tRNA-Pro". It matches the Rfam family "tRNA". Rfam says of the family: Transfer RNA (tRNA) molecules are approximately 80 nucleotides in length. Their secondary structure includes four short double-helical elements and three loops (D, anti-codon, and T loops). Lineage: Bacteria; Pseudomonadati; Myxococcota; Myxococcia. The record is from RNAcentral.